CAAACGAUGACCUUGUGACGUUAGAUGGUGGAAUAUUUAUUACAAUCAAUUUGAUGUAAAAACAAAAUAUUAAUAUGUUGAUUCGAAUAAUAAUCACAUAACUAAUGAAGGGGAUUUGCUGGACGGAUAGAGCCUGGGAGUCGAAUUCUUUAUCCAUGAAGAAGAGGGUCCCAUCAUGUUAGAUUAGUAGAACAAAAAUUUUAUCAUUCUUUUAAGUUAUAAUUUUCAUAUUAUAAUUGCAUGAUUUGUUACGAGUGUUUUGACAUUUAUUUUAUUUAUCAAUUAUAAUGAAUUUUGAGGUACAAAAAAAAAAAAAAAAAAAAUGGAAAUGGUUUCGUUUUGCAUGGAGAGAAAAUGGCAACACACGUGUUCGUGUGUAAAAUUUUUCUCUUUCUAGGCUAGAAAAUCUCGAAUAGCACUCCAUUCCAAAUUCCAUUAUAAAUAAAGAUCGAAACUGUAGCUAAUGCAGAGUCUCUUAUGCCGGAGAGAGAGAGUAUUGGCCGUUGAAAGAUGUGUAUCAGGUACGUAUUUAAUUGCACAAGACACGUAGAUUUGUUGGGAAUUUGAAUUUGAAUUUUUCUUUUUUGCUAGGUUUUUUAAUCUGUAUUACCGGCAAUGUACAAUUUUUGUCGCUUGAUUUGUUCAAUCCGUUCGUAUUAUGCAUGGUUGAAUUUCGUUUUUGUUUUUCUGUUGGGUUUAAUCAGAUUUACGUGUCUCGUAAAAGAUCUGCUGCUUUGGUGUAUGUUAUUGGUAUAUCUAUUUAUUAUUGCAUGAAAUUGAAAUCUUUUGAUUAUUUCGGUUGUGUAUGUUUUCAAUUUGAUUAAUAUGUAAACAUUUGCUAUGGUUGAGUAUUGAGAAACUCGAAAAUCUGAUUGUACUGUGUUCAUUUUUAGGGGAAGUUUGUCCAGAUAUAAUAUCAGUUUGCAUUUUUUAUUCUUCUUCUCCAUUGAUUUUCUUCUUUAUUUCGUUUUUUCUUGAUACCUUGUAUUAUUAUUAUUUUUUUUUUGUUUCGCAUUAUCCAGAUAGUUUCUUUUUAUGUAUGACAUUCAAUUACUUGAUC
Molecule: long non-coding RNA, 1060 nt
Filed under: Olea europaea (common olive)
Lineage: Eukaryota; Viridiplantae; Streptophyta; Magnoliopsida; Lamiales; Oleaceae
Description: long non-coding RNA (OEUR_LNC012242)
Source: RNAcentral